UCCCUGGUAGUAUAUCGGCUAGUACACCCGCCUGUCAUGAAUAUGAGUGCGCGGGAGAGCGGGGUUCGACUCCCCGCCAAGGAG
Molecule: non-coding RNA, 84 nt
Organism: Dentipellis sp. KUC8613
Lineage: Eukaryota; Fungi; Basidiomycota; Agaricomycetes; Russulales; Hericiaceae
Source: the annotation of a GenBank genome assembly